This 242-nucleotide ribosomal RNA is filed under the name uncultured Staphylococcus sp. RNAcentral describes it as "partial 16S ribosomal RNA". It matches the Rfam family "Bacterial small subunit ribosomal RNA", at positions 98 to 334 of the family's 1533-position model. Lineage: Bacteria; Bacillati; Bacillota; Bacilli; Caryophanales; Staphylococcaceae. The record is from RNAcentral.
GCGGACGGGUGAGUAACACGUGGAUAACCUACCUAUAAGACUGGGAUAACUUCGGGAAACCGGAGCUAAUACCGGAUAAUAUAUUGAACCGCAUGGUUCAAUAGUGAAAGACGGUUUUGCUGUCACUUAUAGAUGGAUCCGCGCCGCGUUAGCUAGUUGGUAAGGUAACGGCUUACCAAGGCAACGAUGCGUAGCCGACCUGAGAGGGUGAUCGGCCACACUGGAACUGAGACACGGUCCAG